Long non-coding RNA from Brassica napus (rape), 3003 nucleotides. RefSeq lists it as uncharacterized. The transcript has 9 exons. The record is from RefSeq and is a predicted model, not a curated record. NCBI's taxonomy places the organism in Eukaryota, Viridiplantae, Streptophyta, Magnoliopsida, Brassicales, Brassicaceae.
AUGAGGACGAGCACUCGUUGCUGUAGAGUUAGCAUUUUCUCUGGCUCUUUUGCAGGAGGUGGAACAGCAGUGUUCACGGCGCUUGGGCAGGGUUCCUUUCCCGGAACAACCCAGUCAAAUUUGACAAGUACUCUAAGGCGUUGUAUCCCCCUAGCUAUCAGGUUUAUCUAGGGUUCCACUACCACUUAGAUUCUAGAACCUAAAGAGAAAGGUGGUUCUCCAGUUACCACUCAGUGGUUGUCUUGUAUGCCUGCAGUAUUUCUAGGAACUCCUCUUCUGGCUCCUCCAGCUUUUGGAAUUCGUCAAAGUUGUAAACCCGGCCGGAAGAUGUUGUGCCCUGCUUGAGGACCUUUCAUCUUUCUCAUAUGUGGCAGAGUUGUGAUCCUGGAUGCAUUCCUGGUGUCUAUGGCUUGCUAGAUUGUUGCUAGUGGAUUGUCCAUUGAUAUUGAUGUUGGUGAUGACUGCUCCUAGUCGGGAUCAUUAAAUCCAAAGGUUGCGGGGGCCUGCUUUGCAGUUGAGACCCAAACCAGCAGGAACCAGAGAUUGUGGAAGUGUGAUUCCUUAUAACCAGCAUGAACUAGCAGGGAUGACUCGUAGGUAGUUCAUGCGUUGAAUCUUGCUACUGCUUUCAGCAAUGUGUUAUCCUCUCUUGAAGAGGUAUUUCCAGCUGCGUGAGCUUUAGAUCUGAUGAGAAUACGUCGUUUCUUGCCCCCAGGUGGCUGGGGUUGAGAGAUUUUGCAGGAAUAGAUGUAAUAUCUCUUCUGCCUAUCACAUUAUCACGUAGUUUAAAGCUUCCCCUCCUUCUAGCGCCAAACUGUUAGGGUAUUUUUUUGUACAAGCGAUCCGCGCUCAGCUCUACGGAAUGGUAGGAGGAAGGAGACGCGUCGUUGAGUGUAUUCCCCUGCUUCGAUAGUUGAUAAACUAGGAGAUCCUGCUCUUAGGAUACUGCCAUCACUACAAGAAAAAAGGCGUAUUGAUAGCACAUUGUAAUAGCUUUGUUUUCUAAACUGCUAUUAAAGAUAAUUUUUUCGAUUUCGGUAUACAUUAAUAGCAGUUAAUUAAGGCUAUCGUGAAAAAUUAGUAAGCAGGAAUAAAAAAUCACGCAUACCGCCUAUACUUAGGUGAAAUUGUGACAAACCGCGAAAUACCAAAAUUUUCCCCCUUUACUAUAACACAUUCUCUACUUAAAGAUGUAAAAUUUAGUUUCCACAAAAAAAUAGUCACAAAAAAAAACUCUCUCCUCUCGUCAAAUCUAACUGUUCAUCUUCUCCCAUGUAUAUCUCCCUCUCACUUUCUCCAAAUCUCACUUCUCUUUUAUUCUUCUUCAACAAUUCUCACUUCUCCUCUUAUUUUGAAAAUAGUUUUGGGGUAUUGUGUUCUCUGUGUUUUGAAUAAAUCUAGGGUUUCUCAUUCCCUUUCUUUCCUAGGGCCUGAGACACGAGAGACAUAAGAGAAGAGAGACGAGACGAAACGGAGAUGGAGAGGAGAGAAAGCUCGGGUCGUGUCUUGAUUCGUCUCAGAUAACCAGAGCUUGGGUUGGGUGGGGUCUUGCUUUGUCUCCGCCGUUUUCGCCUCAGCUUCAGGUCCGCCGUGUUCGAGCUCCGCCGCUGCUUGUACCUUUUUCAGCAUUCGUCUCGAGAGAAGAAUUUGAGUCGAGCGAUAAGAGAAGGCAUAAGAUGGAGUUGGUUCAGAGACAAGGGAAGAGACAUCCUGCCUCUCGAGUUGGCAAUCUAAGACAGAGGAGAUGGAGAUGGGAAGAAGAAGAAGAAGAAGAAGAACCAGAGAAAACAGAGGUGGAGUUUCAGAUUCAAAACGAGAGAAGACACAAGAGCAAGGUAUUUGGAUCGACAAGGAAGAGGAAGAUGAGAAUAAAAAAGUGGCUGUAGGCGAGGAACUCAGGUACUUGGAUAGUCUGUCUUGAACAAAACUCUUCCAUUUUCUGUAAAAUUUAACAAGUUCGAUAUCUUGUUAAUUGAUUCACUGUCUUGUGUGUUAAUAACUAGAGGCGUGUGUCUGAGAGAAGUUAUAAAUAUACACAAGAACUUGAUUAUUAUGAGAAGGCUUUGUUGAUUUCUCAAGACAUGUUACUAACUACCAUCUUCUUCUUCUCUAGUAUGUAGUGGUCAUCUCGUUCUUCUUUGGAUAUAUUGGUCUUCAAUAGUCUUCUUCUUGCCUUCUUGUUUGCGGUGUAGUAGUGUUUGAUUGUUUUUGCAGUUAAUGAAGUGAAACAUAAAGUAGAAGAAGAAGAAGAAGAAGACAAACAUGGAGAUGUUCACAGGUUCUACUCUACAUUGUACAUUCAGACAUCUCAUCUCUUCUUCACCAGGAAGAACCGUCUUUGAUGACCGCAAGGGUCUUUCCAAAUGCUGCUGCAAAUCAAUUGCUUCAGGCUCCUAAAGAAGAUCUUAACCACACAAACUAGUAUGUUAUAGGACUCGCACUCUAUGAUUUAGGUUUCUAACUUGCUGCAAAUUCACUAAGUCCUCAUGUCCAAGGGCUAGAUUCUGAGCUUAGUGUUGACUGUGUUCUCUCAUAUGUUAAGAAGUAAGAAUGCUUGCUUCUGGUGGAACUCUCGGUGCGAGACUGCUCGAGGUUACAUCGCAAACGUAUAGCCUAGAUGCAAAUCUAUGCUUGGUUCGUCUCUAUUAGGUGCUCUAAUUGUUUCUCUAUGCGAUUUCAUAUUGGCUUAUGUUGAUGCUGAGAUAUUCACUUUUCCACUGGAAUUCCUUUCCUUGACCGUAUAUUAGAUGUUCUUGGAACACCAACACGGGAGAUUAUUAAGGUGCAUACCUACGCCGCUUUUUCUACGAGAUACAUGCUAAGGCCAAGAAGGAAAUGGGAGCUCAAGGUUUUGAUUUAGUUCCCAUGUUUUCUAGUCUUUUUUAUAUUUAGUUCUGAUUUUUAUGUUUUGUGUAAGAUUUGAUGAAAAUGUAAACAUGUUUGUGGUAUUGAUGUAAGUACAUUUAGGUUAUUAAUGAAAUAUAAAUUGAAUAUUGUUUUUUA